GAUGAACGCUGGCGGCGUGCCUAAUACAUGCAAGUCGAGCGAACAGACGAGGAGCUUGCUCCUCUGACGUUAGCGGCGGACGGGUGAGUAACACGUGGAUAACCUACCUAUAAGACUGGGAUAACUUCGGGAAACCGGAGCUAAUACCGGAUAACAUGUUGAACCGCAUGGUUCAACAGUGAAAGACGGUUUUGCUGUCACUUAUAGAUGGAUCCGCGUCGCAUUAGCUAGUUGGUAAGGUAACGGCUUACCAAGGCAACGAUGCGUAGCCGACCUGAGAGGGUGAUCGCCCACACUGGAACUGAGACACGGUCCAGACUCCUACGGGAGGCAGCAGUAGGGAAUCUUCCGCAAUGGGCGAAAGCCUGACGGAGCAACGCCGCGUGAGUGAAGAAGGUCUUCGGAUCGUAAAACUCUGUUAUUAGGGAAGAACAAAUGUGUAAGUAACUAUGCACGUCUUGACGGUACCUAAUCAGAAAGCCACGGCUAACUACGUG
Molecule: ribosomal RNA, 497 nt
Filed under: uncultured bacterium
Lineage: Bacteria
Description: partial 16S ribosomal RNA
Rfam family: Bacterial small subunit ribosomal RNA
Source: RNAcentral